GAUCAUGGCUCAGGAUGAACGCUGGCGGCGUGCCUAACACAUGCAAGUCGAACGAAGCAAUUAGAAAGAAGUUUUCGGAUGGAUUUCUGGUUGACUGAGUGGCGGACGGGUGAGUAACGCGUGGAUAACCUGCCUCACACUGGGGGAUAACAGUUAGAAAUGGCUGCUAAUACCGCAUAAGCGCACAGUACCGCAUGGUACGGUGUGAAAACUCCGGUGGUGUGAGAUGGAUCCG
Molecule: ribosomal RNA, 235 nt
Filed under: uncultured bacterium
Lineage: Bacteria
Description: partial 16S ribosomal RNA
Rfam family: Bacterial small subunit ribosomal RNA
Source: RNAcentral